Long non-coding RNA from Brienomyrus brachyistius, 1374 nucleotides. RefSeq lists it as uncharacterized. The transcript has 6 exons. The record is from RefSeq and is a predicted model, not a curated record. NCBI's taxonomy places the organism in Eukaryota, Metazoa, Chordata, Actinopteri, Osteoglossiformes, Mormyridae.
GCUGUUUUUAGAAUCUCUCUGUGAGUCCAUUCUGCUGCCGGGACACGGAGCACAGCUAGCUCCCUCCUCCUGCAGGAGAACCCCUUCCCUGCCUUCCAGGGACUUGCUCUUGCAGAUGGAGCCCCUUUCCCAGGAUUGAUCAGGAAGAACAAUAUGCAGUAAGCAUACCGAUACAGGAACCUGAUGCAGGAUUACCAGAACUGGAGGACAGCCGAUGCAAGAAACAUAAAAGUGCUCUGAGAUGGAAUUAUAAAUGACGUGCAUCACACGGGUGAAAGGGUGUAGCCCAGCUUUGUGGCCCGUGCUGCCAGAGACAGGCUCCAGGACCGAUGGAUGGACCAGGUCACAGACUAACAGCCCACAUGACUUCCCACCUUGCCGGCAGCAGCUGAAGUGAAAUAAUGAGUGUUUAUACAAAAGAGACAAGGGGACAAGCUCAGGAACAUUCAUUCUGGACUGAAGUGGAUCUCUUCACUUUGAUUGCUCAAUAAAAAGGUACCUCCAAUCUGUUCACACUUUCUGGCAAUUUCUCUGUACCUUUUCAUUAAAGGCUGACAGCUCUAAGUCCAGCUGGGUGUUGGCAGGUGCUCAAGCAGAUAUAAAUGCUUGGAUCACAUCCCAUUUUGGUAUAUUCAAGAUUCCACCGGUUUUACUUGGUCACAUACAGAAAAGGAUCUUGGUAGAGGUGCAAGACAAAAUCCACCUCCUGUAUUGGACAACAGUAGAAGAGGACUGUGUCAGCAGUGGAUGGUCAUCAUGGUUCUUACAGAGGAAUACCAUCACCAGGAAUGAACACUGACAAGAUGAAGCAUGAUAAUAUUAAUAAUAAUAAUAAUUAUCAUUAUGUGCUUUUAACUCCGGUAUUUUUUAAAUGGUAUUGUCAAGAACUACUAUAUGUUUGAUUGAUGGCUAAUGGAGGCAGUAUCUCUGAUCAGCAUCCUAUAAGUCGUUUCUUUUUCAAUUUACCAGUCAGUCUCUUCUAAUUUUCCCAGUCUGGUUCUUUAACUUUUCUCUUUCCAAUGAAGAAUAAAGUGGUCUGGAGAAGCAAGGAGCCCACAAUUUCCUUCAACAGUUUCACACCUUGAGCAUGAACAUGUUUUCGACGGGCUCAAAUAGUUUCGGGGAUGACAGCUGAGCCGCGGGUGUGAAACCGGCAGUAAGGAGGGAGUGCCGGGGAAGCUCUCACUCAUUCAUUGUGCUUCGCCCAGCUGCCUCUCUCAUCUUUUGUCUUUGCUAGAAACACAGUGAAACAGCGAGGCAGAGAGAGAGAAACCAGAAAGGCCACCCUUACUAUGAAGAGGAAAAGGAGAAGUAUGUAAACUGGCACAAAUCGACAGAGGCUCUGCAACUUACAAAAUGGGAUGAACAUGGAUU